This is a long non-coding RNA of Capsicum annuum, 1184 nucleotides long. RefSeq lists it as uncharacterized. NCBI's taxonomy places the organism in Eukaryota, Viridiplantae, Streptophyta, Magnoliopsida, Solanales, Solanaceae. The transcript has 2 exons. The record is from RefSeq and is a predicted model, not a curated record.
GUUUAUGUGAUAUACCCUUGUGGUAUACCAGUAUCUGUUCUUCUUGAUAAGAUGGUGAAAGAUCAUUAAUUCCAGCUUUUUGUUUUCUUGUUACUUUUAGGGAUCGUUUGGUAUAGUGUGUUUAUAAAAAUAAUGCAUGUAUUAUUUUUAUGUAUUAUUACCUUAUUUUUUGCAUCUUGUCUUCUACCGAAAUUACUCCCAUCUUAUUUCGAAUUUUCCCUCAAAAUUUUAGAAUUCAAUAAAAUAACCUACUUCUCUUUUUUCUUAAAAAAAUAGGUCAGAUCUCUUUCUCUUAUCCCCUUUCUUUGUUCCUUGUUGUCUGCCACCGCCCCCACCCCCACCCCCGACUUCCGUGGUCCAUCGUCCCCUUCCUUCCCCUUCACCCCUUGCUUUUGAAUUUUUUAUAUACGAUGUUUUGCUAAUUAACUUCUUUCUUUUUGUAGAUUUUGUAAUAUGAAAUUCUCCAAUAAGAUGAGAUGAGUUUUUACAACAUAACUAUUGCAUUGAAUUUCGUAUAUAUAUAUUUUGAUGUAAAGGUUAUUUUAUAGACUGUAGGCAGAUGAAGUACAACUUUUUCAAGCAGAAUAUGGAGGCGGCUCCCUCCAAUCCCACCGCCCCUUCCGCCGCGAGCAACCAGAAUCCACUAAGAGUUGAAUGGCUGACAGUAGAUAGACCACUAGAUCUUGCAGAGCAGGAAGCCAUCUAUUAGGCGUGUAGAUUCUUCAAGUUUGGAUUUUUACUACUUCCUUGGCUUUGGGCUGUCAAUUGCUUAUAGUUUUGUCAGGUCAGCAAUUGGUUUCACGGUGUUUGUUAUUAUCCUCUCAACUCGGGCUCUUACCUGUUCCAUUGGACGAGAGCGUCUAUUUGGUCAAUGCUUGGGACAAGCUAGUAAUGUACAACAGUACUGAGAAAUAUGGGUUGGCGGGUGGAUCUAGAUACAUUGAUGGAAACAAAACAUGAAGGACAACAAGUGGUUUGGAGUUGAAGACUGCGGAGGAAAAGAUAGAAAAAGAUUAUGUUGCUUUUGGACUAAUUAUAAUUUUUAAAAUUGUAAAAUGCAAUUAUAUAUAACUUAAUAAUUGUUUUGGAAUCUCAAAAAUAGAUUUCUAGCUACAUUAUGUAACUUUUGUGACUUAUCAAGGUUGUGGAGAAUUCUUUAAUUUAUUGCAUUAGAAUUAUUGAGA